UAGCGGCGGACGGGUGAGUAAUGCGUAGGAAGCUGCCCGAUAGAGGGGGAUACCAGUUGGAAACGACUGUUAAUACCGCAUAAUGUCUACGGACCAAAGUAUGGGACCUUCGGGCCAUAUGCUAUCGGAUGCGCCUACGUGGGAUUAGCUAGUUGGUGUGGUAAUGGCGCACCAAGGCGACGAUCCCUAGCUGGUUUGAGAGGAUGAUCAGCCACACUGGGACUGAGACACGGCCCAGACUCCUACGGGAGGCAGCAGUGGGGAAUAUUGGACAAUGGGCGCAAGCCUGAUCCAGCCAUGCCGCGUGUGUGAAGAAGGCCUUCGGGUUGUAAAGCACUUUCAGCGAGGAGGAAGGGUGUUGUGUUAAUAGCACAGCAUUUUGACGUUACUCGCAGAAGAAGCACCGGCUAACUCCGUGCCAGCAGCCGCGGUAAUACGGAGGGUGCGAGCGUUAAUCGGAAUUACUGGGCGUAAAGCGCACGCAGGCGGCUUUUUAAGUCGGAUGUGAAAGCCCCGGGCUCAACCUGGGAAUUGCAUUCGAUACUGGAAAGCUAGAGUAUGUGAGAGGGGGGGUAGAAUUCCAAGUGUAGCGGUGAAAUGCGUAGAGAUUUGGAGGAAUACCAGUGGCGAAGGCGGCCCCCUGGCACACUACUGACGCUCAGUGCGAAAGCGUGGGGAGCAAACAGGA
Molecule: ribosomal RNA, 688 nt
Filed under: uncultured bacterium
Lineage: Bacteria
Description: bacterial SSU rRNA
Rfam family: Bacterial small subunit ribosomal RNA
Source: RNAcentral